RNAcentral lists this ribosomal RNA (253 nucleotides) under uncultured bacterium. RNAcentral describes it as "partial 16S ribosomal RNA". It matches the Rfam family "Bacterial small subunit ribosomal RNA", at positions 524 to 776 of the family's 1533-position model. The record is from RNAcentral.
UACGAAGGGGGCUAGCGUUGUCCGGAAUUACUGGGCGUAAAGGGCGCGUAGGCGGCCUUGCAAGUCGGACGUGAAAGCCCGGGGCUCAACCCCGGAACUGCGCCCGAGACUGCAAGGCUUGAGACCAGGAGAGGGGAGCGGAAUUCCCAGUGUAGAGGUGAAAUUCGUAGAUAUUGGGAAGAACACCGGUGGCGAAGGCGGCUCCCUGGCCUGGUUCUGACGCUGAGGCGCGAAAGCGUGGGGAGCAAACAGG